AUCAGAGGCCGCACUCAUCGUAGCAGAGAGGCAGGACCAACUGGGAGAGGGUCAUUCUGUGACACCUACUGCAUCACCGGGCUGUGUGAAGUGACUCAGCUGCCAGAACUCACACAAUAUCAUUCUACACCAAAACCUCACGGGAAAAAUCCUCCCCGACCCUCAGACUUAAACAGCAGCACUGGCUCCUCCCCAGAUCUCCAGCUCCCUGACCCUCAAACUCCAACUGCAGCACCAGCUCCACCUGGGUCUCCAGCUCCAUGAUCCUCAAACUACAACAGCAGCACCAGCUCCCCCGUGGAUCUCCAGCUCAAUGACUCUCAGACUUGGGAGGUGGCACUGGCUCCCAACCAAGGCUCCAGCUCCACAAACCUCAAACUAGAACAGCAGCACCAGCUACUCCCUGGGUCUCCAGCUCCCUCAAACUUCAACUAUAGCACUGGCUCUUCCCUGGGGCCACCAGCUCCACAACCCUCAACUUACACGGUGGUAGCACCAGCUCCUCCCCAGGUCUCCAGCUCCACGACCAUCAAACUUGAACUGCAACACCAGCUCCUCUUCAGC
Homo sapiens (human) is the source of this 564-nucleotide long non-coding RNA. Lineage: Eukaryota; Metazoa; Chordata; Mammalia; Primates; Hominidae. The record is from Ensembl.